CAAAAUGUAGCUUAAUUUAUUAAAGCAUUUAGUUUACACCUAAAAGAUUUCAGUCAAUUCUGACCAUUUUGA
Molecule: transfer RNA, 72 nt
Filed under: Philander frenatus (Southeastern four-eyed oppossum)
Lineage: Eukaryota; Metazoa; Chordata; Mammalia; Didelphimorphia; Didelphidae
Description: tRNA-Val
Rfam family: tRNA
About the family: Transfer RNA (tRNA) molecules are approximately 80 nucleotides in length.
Source: RNAcentral